GACGAACGCUGGCGGCGUGCCUAAUACAUGCAAGUCGAACGAAGCUGUUUUAACUGGUGCUUGCACCGACUUAAACAACUGAGUGGCGAACGGGUGAGUAACACGUGGGUAACCUGCCCCAAAGCGGGGGAUAACAUUUGGAAACAGAUGCUAAUACCGCAUAAUCACAGAAACCACAUGGUUUCUGUGUCAAAGAUGGUUUCGGCUAUCACUUUGGGAUGGACCCGCGGCGUAUUAGCUAGUUGGUAAGGUAAUGGCUUACCAAGGCAAUGAUACGUAGCCGAGCUGAGAGGUUGAUCGGCCACAUUGGGACUGAGACACGGCCCAAACUCCUAAGGGAGGCAGCAGUAGGGAAUCUUCCACAAUGGACGAAAGUCUGAUGGAGCAACGCCGCGUGAGUGAAGAAGGUUUUCGGAUCGUAAAACUCUGUUGUCAGAGAAGAACGUGUGCGAGAGUAACUGUUCGUGCAGUGACGGUAUCUGGCCAGAAAGCCACGGCUAACUACGUGCCAGCCGCCGCAGUAA
RNAcentral lists this ribosomal RNA (524 nucleotides) under uncultured bacterium. Its description in RNAcentral is "partial 16S ribosomal RNA". It matches the Rfam family "Bacterial small subunit ribosomal RNA", at positions 28 to 523 of the family's 1533-position model. The record is from RNAcentral.